This 58-nucleotide transfer RNA is filed under the name Clostridium cadaveris. Its description in RNAcentral is "tRNA-Met". It matches the Rfam family "tRNA", at positions 8 to 63 of the family's 71-position model. From Rfam's summary of the family: Transfer RNA (tRNA) molecules are approximately 80 nucleotides in length. Their secondary structure includes four short double-helical elements and three loops (D, anti-codon, and T loops). The record is from RNAcentral. Lineage: Bacteria; Bacillati; Bacillota; Clostridia; Eubacteriales; Clostridiaceae.
UGGAGCAGCUGGUAGCUCGUCGGGCUCAUAACCCGAAGGUCGUAGGUUCAAGUCCUGC